RNAcentral lists this long non-coding RNA (1103 nucleotides) under Homo sapiens (human). RNAcentral describes it as "INTS6 antisense RNA 1". The stretch from base 902 to 962 matches the Rfam family "mir-4703 microRNA precursor family". The record is from RNAcentral. Lineage: Eukaryota; Metazoa; Chordata; Mammalia; Primates; Hominidae.
CCGCGGGCCGCCGGGCCGGGGUCGCCGCCCGGGCUCGGUCAGUCGGUACCUUCAUGAAGGUCUCUACCGCGCCUUUGGCCGUGUCCAGAAAAAGAAAUGGAAACUAAGUAACAUGAAUUAACAUAGUCCAGGGUCACAAAGCAACAUGGAACAAGAACCUGGAUCUGAAUUCAGAGGCAGAAUGCUGGGAAAGGCCUUGUGAGGACAUAACCAGGAAGAGAGUCCUCACCAGAACCUGACCAUACCUGCACCCUGAUCUCAAGCUUCCAGCUUCCAGAACCAUGAGAAAUCAAUGUUUGUUGUUUUAGCCACCCAGUCUACAGAAAUUUGUUAUAGCCACCCUAGCUGACUACCACAUUGGACAUCACAGCAAACACUACAACCAAUAAAAGAAAUGGCUGAAAUCCUUUGGAACCAAUAUGACCAACUGGAGUCGGUGCAGAAGGAGCUUGCUGACAACGCAGCCUGAAUUUCCACCCUAUGUUUCAUACCAACUCCCCCUGAAUUUGCACAUGUGAUACAUGAGAUAGCAUGAAGAGAUAACUGAGCAUGCCCAAGGACUUUCCAGACUUCUGCUUUCCUUCCACCAAUCACCUGCUAAUCUCAGAAUCCACCCCCUGAAACUUUUCUAAUAAAAAUACUGUUUUGAAGGCAGCACAGGGAGACAGAUUUGAGCUUGACUUCUGUCUCCUUGGGAUUGACUUUCAGUACAAAGCUUUUCUUUUCUCAAGAACAUGGUGUCAUAGUAUGGGCUUCUAGUGCAUUGGACAGUGAGCCCCUUUUACUCGAUAACAAUAUCAGCUAUAUUUUUCUCCCUCUUUCACUGUGGACUAAGCAUUCAGCUUCCUCUUAUUAAUCCCAUAAAAUCCUAUACCAUUUGCGAGAUUUGCUUUAUGCAUAUUAGCAAUACAGUACAAAUAUAGUGUGUUUGAUUUGCACUGUAGUUGUAUUGUAUUGCCACUCUGUAUAAAAAUCCAAUCAUCAGCUAGAUACCUACCUAACAAAAAAGUUGCUCCUAGAAGGAAGGAAGCAAAGCUAAUGUUUAGUGGAUAUGACUGAGUGGCUUUUAUAAGCAGUCAUUUGAUAAAUAAACGUUUCUAGGU